RNAcentral lists this ribosomal RNA (468 nucleotides) under uncultured bacterium. RNAcentral describes it as "partial 16S ribosomal RNA". It matches the Rfam family "Bacterial small subunit ribosomal RNA", at positions 28 to 507 of the family's 1533-position model. The record is from RNAcentral.
GACGAACGCUGGCGGCGUGCUUAACACAUGCAAGUCGAACGGAAAGGCCCUGCUUUUGUGGGGUGCUCGAGUGGCGAACGGGUGAGUAACACGUGAGUAACCUGCCCUUGACUUUGGGAUAACUUCAGGAAACUGGGGCUAAUACCGGAUAGGAGCUCCUGCUGCAUGGUGGGGGUUGGAAAGUUUCGGCGGUUGGGGAUGGACUCGCGGCUUAUCAGCUUGUUGGUGGGGUAGUGGCUUACCAAGGCUUUGACGGGUAGCCGGCCUGAGAGGGUGACCGGCCACAUUGGGACUGAGAUACGGCCCAGACUCCUACGGGAGGCAGCAGUGGGGAAUAUUGCACAAUGGGCGGAAGCCUUAUGCAGCAACGCCGCGUGCUGGAUGACGGCCUUCGGGUUGUAAACCGCUUUCGCCUGUGACGAAGCGUGAGUGACGGUAAUGGGUAAAGAAGCACCGGCUAACUACGUG